This 489-nucleotide ribosomal RNA is filed under the name uncultured bacterium. RNAcentral's name for it is "partial 16S ribosomal RNA". It matches the Rfam family "Bacterial small subunit ribosomal RNA", at positions 30 to 507 of the family's 1533-position model. The record is from RNAcentral.
AUUGAACGCUGGCGGCAGGCCUAACACAUGCAAGUCGAACGGUACAGGAAACAGCUUGCUGUUUCGCUGACGAGUGGCGGACGGGUGAGUAAUGUCUGGGAAACUGCCUGAUGGAGGGGGAUAACUACUGGAAACGGUAGCUAAUACCGCAUAACGUCGCAAGACCAAAGAGGGGGACCCUCGGGCCUCUUGCCAUCGGAUGUGCCCAGAUGGGAUUAGCUUGUUGGUGGGGUAACGGCUCACCAAGGCGACGAUCCCUAGCUGGUCUGAGAGGAUGACCAGCCACACUGGAACUGAGACACGGUCCAGACUCCUACGGGAGGCAGCAGUGGGGAAUAUUGCACAAAGGGCGCAAGCCUGAUGCAGCCAUGCCGCGUGUAUGAAGAAGGCCUUCGGGUUGUAAAGUACUUUCAGCGGGGAGGAAGGGAGUAAAGUUAAUACCUUUGCUCAUUGACGUUACCCGCAGAAGAAGCACCGGCUAACUCCGUG